Molecule: RNase P RNA, 306 nt
Filed under: Theionarchaea archaeon
Lineage: Archaea; Methanobacteriati; Methanobacteriota; Theionarchaea
Description: RNase P RNA component
Rfam family: Archaeal RNase P
About the family: Ribonuclease P (RNase P) is a ubiquitous endoribonuclease, found in archaea, bacteria and eukarya as well as chloroplasts and mitochondria. Its best characterised activity is the generation of mature 5'-ends of tRNAs by cleaving the 5'-leader elements of precursor-tRNAs.
Source: RNAcentral
GUGGGCGGUCUGCGGCUUCGGACAGUAUGUCUGAGGAAGUUCUGUCCAUGGGGCCGGGACCGUAGCUACCCUCAGGUAGCCUGGCGAAAGUCAGGGUAAAGCACAGAAACAACACGGCCGCUGCAAGAUGAAAAUGAGGCAGACCAUCUGUUGAGGAUUGCAGUGGAAGCGGUGAAAGGCUCCCUUACGGUCAUGCAAGACCAAAUUGUGCUGAUGAAAGCCCGGCCAGAGGCAGAGGUAGGUCGCUGAGUGGAAUGCCGCAGGUGACUCCAGUCACAUACAAAAGACAGACUAUAGACCGCCCAC